AACUCAAUAACAAAAUGGAAAAGUAGAUUAAUAAAUCAGUUGAGAAACAUACUCAAGCCAAGGAGAAGCAUAAGAAAUUUGUAUACACCGAAAGUCUCUUUGCAGUGAAAGCCAAGUAGUGGAGGAGAUGACUGAAAGCCAAGUAAUCCCUGCCUUUGUUAUCAACAAAUAUAAGCCAAGGAGCAUCCUCAUUCCCAUUUCUCCAGUAAGUAGGCAAUAGUGCAACCUAUCGGGUUGAAGAAACAAAUAACAAGGGCGACCAGUAAAGUUGCUUUCCAUGAGCAAUUUAUGUUACGUAUUCUGAAUGA
This 308-nucleotide long non-coding RNA is filed under the name Nicotiana benthamiana. RNAcentral's name for it is "long non-coding RNA (NBEN_LNC018958)". Lineage: Eukaryota; Viridiplantae; Streptophyta; Magnoliopsida; Solanales; Solanaceae. The record is from RNAcentral.